RNAcentral lists this long non-coding RNA (1199 nucleotides) under Marmota monax (woodchuck). The record is from RNAcentral. Lineage: Eukaryota; Metazoa; Chordata; Mammalia; Rodentia; Sciuridae.
GACUAAUACAGUCACCAUUGCUGAUUUCAAGCCACCAAUGUGAUGUCCUUAAGCAUGGAAAUUGUUAAAAGGUAUGUAGGAGCACACCAUUAUAUAGCAUAUCCACCAUGAAGAUACAACUGUAAUAAAUAAAUCCAAGAACAUACACAGUAGAAAAAUAAUUAAUAGGUUGUAGUGUACUUAUUACCUUUGCUUUAACACCAUUUAUUUUAAGUAACUUAUUUAAUGUUUAAUAAUGGCUAUGCUUAACAACUGAUUCCCAAAAUUCUUGAAAAUUUAACAUUCUUUCCUUGUGGGUCAGUGUGGACCAGCCUGGCUUCAGUAUAACACUAAAAUGGCUAUCUACCACUCUAAAAUUCACAUUUAUGUUUCCUGUUUGUUGGAAAGAUGAACUCAAUUUAAGUUUCUUUUUUAAUGUGUGAACUUUUUAUUUUUACUUUAUUUUUUGUUGGUACAUUAUUAUUAGAUAUAAUAUUGAGUCCACUAAUGAAUAUGGAUUCAUUGUGCCUUAUUCAUGCAUUCACAUAACAAUUUGAUCAAUCUCAUUCCCCCAGUACCUUCCCUUUUUCUCCCCUCCACCCUCCCUCUAAUCUGCUGCCUCUACUAACUUCAGAUUUUUUUAAAAUAUAUGUUUUUAAUACCUUUAUUUAAUUUUUUAAUUUUCAUGUGGCGCUGAGGAUUGAACCAGCACCUCGCACAUGCUAGGUGAACACUCUACCGCUGAGCCACAACCCCAGCCCCCAACUUCAGAUUUUUAAAGAAGGGGUUCUGUCUCAGACUGGUUGAGUUAUCUGCCUGUGAUUGAGCUGUACAAAGCAUUUGUGGUUGAUCCAGAGGGAGUCUGCCUACUUCCCACAAGGAGAUCCCCAGAAGCAGCCCCACUGUGACUGCAGGGCACCACCCUAAGAGGUGCCCAUGACAGUGCUGCAGACACACCAACACCACUCCCUCCUCUGCUUGGUCUUUCAAGACUACACAGAAUGUGUUUCUGACUCACCUGCUCUUUCUCCCCAGAAAAAUGACAAAAAAAAUGUGUAAGUGGUUUUCAAAGUGUUGUCCUGGAUCAGCAGCAUCUGCCUCACAUGGGAAUUUGUUCAAAAAGCAAAAUUUUGGACCCCACUCCAACUCUACUGAAUGAGACAUUCUGGGGAUGGAGACCAGCAGUCUAUGUUUCAAAAAGUUCUCCAGGUUAUUCCGAG